RNAcentral lists this ribosomal RNA (497 nucleotides) under uncultured bacterium. Its description in RNAcentral is "partial 16S ribosomal RNA". It matches the Rfam family "Bacterial small subunit ribosomal RNA", at positions 30 to 507 of the family's 1533-position model. The record is from RNAcentral.
AUUGAACGCUGGCGGCAUGCCUUAUACAUGCAAGUCGAACGGCCAGACGGGGUUCUUCCUCCUCGCACGUUGGCGACGGGCGGGUAAUUCACCCGUAGGUAACCUGCCUUUAGGGCUAGGAUAACUACAGGCGGCCUGAUCUCAUACCGGACCAUAUAUUGAAACGCAGGGUUCAAUAGUGCACGCCGUUUUUGCUGGCACUACUUGGUGUAUCCGCGCCGCAUUAGCUAGGGGGUAAGGUAACGGCUUACCAAGGCAACGGUGCGUAGCCGACCUGAGAGGGUGAGCGGCCACACUGGAACUGAGACACGGGCCAGACUCCUACGGGAGGCAGCAGUAGGGAAUUUUGCGCAAUGGGCGAAAGCCUGACGGAGCAACGCCGCGUGAGUGAUGAAGGUCUUCGGAUCGUAAAACUCUGUUAUUAGGGAAGAACAAAUGUGUAAGUAACUAUGCACGUCUUGACGGUACCUAAUCAGAAAGCCACGGCUAACUACGUG